This 444-nucleotide ribosomal RNA is filed under the name Libythea celtis (nettle-tree butterfly). Its description in RNAcentral is "partial 16S ribosomal RNA". Lineage: Eukaryota; Metazoa; Arthropoda; Insecta; Lepidoptera; Nymphalidae. The record is from RNAcentral.
UAUAUUAAAGGGCUGCAGUAUAUUGACUGUACAAAGGUAGCAUAAUCAUUAGUCUUUUAAUUGAAGACUUGUAUGAAAGAUUUGAUGAAAUAUAGACUGUCUCUAAGUUAUUUAUAAAAUUUAAUUUUUUAGUUAAAAAGCUAAAAUAAUUUUAAAAGACGAGAAGACCCUAUAGAGUUUUAUAGAUUUAUUAUUUAAGAUUAUAUAUAUAAAUAAAAAUUAAAAUUAAUAAAUUUAUUUUAUUGGGGUGAUAAAAAAAUUAAAAAAACUUUUUUUAAAAAAUAAACAAAAAUAAAUGAUUAAAUGAUCCAUUAAUAAUGAUUAUAAGAAAAAAUUACCUUAGGGAUAACAGCGUAAUAUUUUUUUUUAGUACAAAUAAAAAAAAAAGUUUGCGACCUCGAUGUUGGAUUAAGAUAAAAUUUAAAUGCAAAAAUUUAAAAUUUU